GCGGCGGCGGCAGCGUGCUGCACGAUUCGGUCAUCUUCCUCGACGUGCUUGUGCACUUGCGUAGCCUCCCUUUGUUAUCCGGACCAUGCCCUCGUUACUGGCCCUUAUCCUGUUGAGCGUCAUUGUCCCUCGUCGCCGCCUCGUCACCUCCGCUCUUCAUGGGCCUGGUUGGGGAGAUGGGAACGAACCGGUCCUCCACAGACCCUACUGACGCCGCCGACUGCAACCUGCAUCCCCUCCUCGACAAUCGUCACUCUAGCGGCCUCCCGCGGCGUGUAACGAGGCAAGGCGACGCCUCCUCGUGGACACCUCCGGCUUCAAGGCACUCCAUCAAAGCUAACAACUGACAUUUGACAAAGCUUACAGUUCGGAUAAAUGGUGAUGGGCUUUCGGGAGCAUGAUAUUUGAUGAAGUGACGUUCAGUGAUACAACUUUGGUGUUUCUCUAUGGCUUGAUUUUACUAAAAACGCAGGUGCAUUUUGAAGUAUGAAAGUUUGCUAUCCACAGUUCCACAUACCUGUUUGUUCCAGCAAUUCUUUUACCCUUACUAUUUUCUGAUGAUCUUGCUAUGUCAGAAGUUGGUAUAAGGAAACUAAGACAUGCACUCAAAGUACUGUCAGAAACUGAAAAGCAAUUGAGGACAUCAAGAAAUAAU
This is a long non-coding RNA of Lolium perenne, 655 nucleotides long. RefSeq lists it as uncharacterized. The record is from RefSeq and is a predicted model, not a curated record. NCBI's taxonomy places the organism in Eukaryota, Viridiplantae, Streptophyta, Magnoliopsida, Poales, Poaceae.